UGAAACCGUUUAGGGGUAAACCUGAGAAACCCGAAAGGUCGAAGGGAGAAAUUCAUUCGCGUUUCGCGACAGGCAUCGGACGGAAUUGAGCGACGGGAAACGCGCGUUUACGCGUUGCGUAUCUCGCGUCGUCCGUUCGACGAUCCGGUUACGAACGCGUGCACUUUUCUCCUGGUAGGACGUCGCGAUCCGUCGAGUGUCGGUCUACGGUUUCGAGUGGAGCCCGUCGGCGGUUCGUCUUCGCGGGCGUUCGCGACCGACGGACCUCGAUUUUCCCGGCCGACUCGCUCGACGGUACGAUAACGAACGGUUCGGGGUCGCUCUUUUACGAGAGCGUUCGAUUCGUGGCAAGCGCGCCAGAUGCCUGUCGGCGAUCGGACUUCGUGCCGGUUCCGACCUCUGGCGACUGUUGGCCGCGUUAUUCUCGAACGGACCCGUUCUCUUUCACGAGAGAAAAACCGAUCGGCGACGCUAUAGCUUUGGGUAAUUUCAGGACCCGUCUUGAAACACGGACCAAGGAGUCUAGCAUGUACGCGAGUCAUUGGGAAUCGAUAAACCUAAAGGCGCAAUGAAAGUAAAGGUUUUCCUCGCGAAGACCUAGGGAAGACGAGCGUGAUCGCCCUUAAAAGCAUCCGCUCCGCAUUCCCGGGGCGUCUCGUUCUCAUCGCGAGAAGAGGCGCACCAAGAGCGUACACGCUGGGACCCGAAAGAUGGUGAACUAUGCCUGGUCAGGACGAA
This 738-nucleotide ribosomal RNA is filed under the name Ernocladius corpulentus. RNAcentral describes it as "partial large subunit ribosomal RNA". It matches the Rfam family "Eukaryotic large subunit ribosomal RNA", at positions 400 to 850 of the family's 3401-position model. The record is from RNAcentral. Lineage: Eukaryota; Metazoa; Arthropoda; Insecta; Coleoptera; Curculionidae.